This 270-nucleotide long non-coding RNA is filed under the name Nicotiana benthamiana. RNAcentral's name for it is "long non-coding RNA (NBEN_LNC035258)". Lineage: Eukaryota; Viridiplantae; Streptophyta; Magnoliopsida; Solanales; Solanaceae. The record is from RNAcentral.
AAUAUUCUAGAAUGUCGUAGAACAUGGAGGUUGAUGCCUAUAAAUAGGGGAAGACCUCCUCAUUUGUAUGAUGUACAAAAGGAGUGAAGCAAAGUGUGUACCAAAGUGAUCCCUUGUGUAAUAAAAGUUGAAGAAUUACAAAAGUCUCUCUCCAUAUAGCUACAUAUAAUAAACCUUCCAAACUACCUCCAUUUCUUCAUUUAUCAACUAAACAAAAACUCUUUCCUUCUUAUAUUUAAAGGUCUUCUACCUUUAAAAUGUUCUCCUACA